UACGUAGGGUGCGAGCGUUAAUCGGAAUUACUGGGCGUAAAGGGUGCGCAGGCGGCCGCGCAAGUCGAGUGUGAAAUCCCCGAGCUUAACUUGGGAAUUGCGCUCGAAACUACGUGGCUGGAGUGUGGCAGAGGAAGGUGGAAUUCCACGUGUAGCGGUGAAAUGCGUAGAGAUGUGGAGGAACACCGAUGGCGAAGGCAGCCUUCUGGGCCAACACUGACGCUCAUGCACGAAAGCGUGGGGAGCAAACAGG
This 253-nucleotide ribosomal RNA is filed under the name uncultured bacterium. RNAcentral describes it as "partial 16S ribosomal RNA". It matches the Rfam family "Bacterial small subunit ribosomal RNA", at positions 524 to 776 of the family's 1533-position model. The record is from RNAcentral.